Molecule: non-coding RNA, 104 nt
Organism: Canis lupus familiaris (dog)
Lineage: Eukaryota; Metazoa; Chordata; Mammalia; Carnivora; Canidae
Source: Rfam
AUCUUUUUGUAGUUGAUGAGCAUAAUGAUUGGGUGUUCACGCAGUUGUGUGACAAUGUGCCUCCUCAAACCUUGUUACGACCUUGGCAUAUUAUCCAUCUGACG